Molecule: ribosomal RNA, 253 nt
Filed under: uncultured bacterium
Lineage: Bacteria
Description: partial 16S ribosomal RNA
Rfam family: Bacterial small subunit ribosomal RNA
Source: RNAcentral
UACGGAAGGGGCAAGCGUUGUUCGGAAUCAUUGGGCGUAAAGGGCGCGUAGGUGGUUCUGUAUGUCUACCGUGAAAGCAUACAGCUCAACUGUAUUUUGUCGGUAGAAACUGCAGGACUUGAGGCUGGGAGGGGCUGGUGGAAUUCCCUGUGUAGCGGUGAAAUGCGCAGAUAUCAGGAGGAACACCGGUGGCGAAGGCGGGUCUCUGGGCAGUAACUGACGCUGAGGAGCGAAAGCGUGGGGAGCGAACAGG